Papaver somniferum (opium poppy) is the source of this 3575-nucleotide long non-coding RNA. RefSeq lists it as uncharacterized. The transcript has 3 exons. The record is from RefSeq and is a predicted model, not a curated record. Lineage: Eukaryota; Viridiplantae; Streptophyta; Magnoliopsida; Ranunculales; Papaveraceae.
AUCUUGCGUAUCUUCGGCCCCACUUCUCUUCUAUCUGUGCACACGAAAUUAGGGUUUUCCCAAAAUCAGUUCCGUUAAGAAAAAACAAUAACAGCCUUUUCCCUUUCCGGCCUCCUUCUGUCUCCCUGUUUUGAUUCUCUUCUUUUUCUUUUGCCCAUCGAUAAUUUCUUUUUUAUUCUGCCUCUAUGUUCUGAUUAUCAACUGAUUUCUUUUUGUGUUUGCACUACUAUCUGCAGAUCAGAAUUGAAAUCAUGACGUCGUCGUCGGUGGAGAUGCAUUACAGGUAAAAUCGGUUUUUCUAUCAUGCUUUUUUGAAUUUUCUGUUUUAUUUGAUUCACAGAAACAAAAAGUAGGGUUUGUUCCUUUUCUCUCCUUUGUAUCGAUUCCUGAUUCACAGAAACAGGCAUGAAAGAACACGAGUUUCGUACUAAUGUAAUGAAACAAAUCAAUCAAGAGAAUUGUAAAAAGUGAGAUUCGUCUUCUUAUCUCAUGUUUUUGUUUGAUGAAAUUACAAGUCACUAAGUUAGUGCACAGAAGCCCUAAUUUUGCAAUUUUAUAAAUUUAGUUGGGGAGAAUCCCUUCGUUGUCCAAAAACAGUCCUAAUAUGGAUUCUCAAAUACAUGAUAAUUUGCGUAAGCUUUGGUUAACUAUAACAUCCAUAUUCUUGAUGUUUUCAGAGUAAACUUAUAUGUGCACGAAAUAGCCAUGAAAAUCUAUCACAAAGAUCUUUUUUUCUUUCUUUGGUUCGAAUGUCGUAAAUUGGGGUUAUUGAUGAAUUAUAUUAAGUUCGAUCAAAAGUUGAUUAAUAAGUUACCGCCAAAUAUAAAUGUCCAAAAUAGUUGUAUGUACUGUGUAUUAAGCAAGCUUCCAAUGGGAUAGAAUCGAGGAAAAGUAUCUCUAUCAAGCAUUCCGUGUUCUUUUACAUUUUUUUCCUGAUUUAAUUUGCCUGUUUAGCAUCUCAUAAUAAUUUAAAAUUGAACAAUCAGAAGUGUAUUAAUUGGCUGGAGGAUCUACUAUUAUGUGGAGGUUCAACUUUAAUCUUUUACUUUUUGUGAUGUAUUUGACAUGAACUUACUUACUUUGUGAAGAUAAUCUUCAAUGAGUAACAUAGAUUUUGAUUCUUUCCUCGCAUUCGCUCUUUUGAAUCUGGAUUGUUGGUUUGUGUUUGGUAGCUAACGAUGAGUGGCGACACUAUUGUAUUUAUUGUUUUUGUUGUCCUCACGUACCACUUUAAAAAUAUGAGUCAUGUUUCUCUUUUUGCGUCUGCGGCAUGAUAGUCCAAGUCAAGUUUCACUAUUCCUGUCAAAGGCAUGAUAGUCCACGUGUAUAACAGAGAAUGAUGACGGUGAUGUUCAUUCUACACUCAAGGGAUCUGGAUUCAAAGGUAAAUACACAAACCCAGGCUGCACUUUACCCUUCAGGUCGUAUACGAUGAUGGUGAUGUUCAUUCUACACUCAAGGGAGCUUGCUUCUAAGGUAAAUACACAAACCCAGGUUGCAUUUUACCCUCCAGGUGGUAUACGAUAUAAGAAUUAACUGUGGGGUAUCGUUAUCAUACGAAAAAACAGCUUAAUACAUUGUAACCUUUAUAUCUCUGCCAUGAUUAAUAUCUCAGCAUGUGUCAUUUAAUUGGAAUAUAACAGAUCGAUUGAACCGUAAUUGUUCCCUAUUUAUCAUUAAUUAAGGUGAACUACGAAUUCUUCUAUUCCGAAUGAAUAUGCUCAGCUCCAUUUUAGGUUUGUAAUAUUUUGGCAUCGUGGCAGGCAUUUUCUUGAAGCAAUAUGAGGUACAUUUAAGAUUUGUGCUUUCUUAUAUUCUUUUUAUUAUAGACUUUCCAAAUAAGUCAAAACACUUCCGGAAUGUAUUACUACUUCACAUUUGAUUUAUAACCGUCUAUAAUAUGAGUUAUACUGUAAAACUCAAUUGAAAUUGUUUUUGAUAGAUGUUUGUUUUUGCAGACUCAUGUUAACGCUUUUGCAUUCAUUCAUAGUGAACUCUCCGUGCUACAAGGGGGAAUGCUGCUCAUAGUUGAACUUGGUUAUCAUUUUUACAUCUACGACAUUGAAAAACAUACCGAAACAUACCAUAGAUGUAUGAAUGCUAACCCAAUUCAAGCUAGGAAAACUAAAAAUACUCUUUUGGUUUAUACCAUAGGUUAGGUUGGCGAUGUGGCUUUGGAGAAGAAUGGAGACAAAGCAACCAUAUAAAAACAUGAUGUCAUUGCCACAGCCUUGAAUUAAGAGUUAUGCUGAUCCUAUUGAAAAGACUGGCAUCAAAGAGAAAGAAAAGGAGUUACAGCUCAAGUAUGGGGUUUUUUGCCCUGAGCACCUUAAUUUUUAAGUGUUCCAUAUUGCAACAGCUUAGAAUGUGAUGUUGCGUGUAAAGAAGAAGAGUUCACUGAAGUGACCCAUAGUCUCUGCAUAGAGGAGAUGUAUGGUUACAAUGACUUAUGUGGCUGCUGCGACCCAUAUCCUGAAUUCAUCAGAUACCCCAAAUCUGUUGUUUCUUCUUCUACCAGCUGAUUCCACUAUUUUCGAAAAUUGAAGUGUAGACUUUCUGGAAUUAGUUUCUCUUUACUAAGAAUAUAUGUUUCCAACUCUGGAAUUGGUUUAUUAAUAAUAACCACAAAAAACACGACCUUGUGCAAUUGAGAGAGAUUAGUAUUCCAUUUCUUUUGGUAUUCCCAAUGAAUCCAACACAGCAAUAUACAAGAUGAUCUCGUAUUGAUUACAUAAAAUUGGUUGAUUAACCCUUAAAAUCUUUUUUACUAUUUAAUAUCCAAUUUGGAUAUCUCAUCUAAGUAUUAUUUGGAUGACCGCUGCCACGGUGAAACGGCCGAUCGAAAAAAUUGACGCAAAAUUAAAUUUUGUACUUAUACAAUAGUUAGUUCCGCAUUAAUGGCAUGGAGUCGGAUUUGGCAUGGAGUCGGGUUUGUAAAUUUUUUAGGCGAAAUUGUUACACAAAGAGAUGUUCAAAGUUCAAACCAAGAUAUCAAUUUCUUUGUAAGGGGAUGUAAAGCAAUUUCUAAAAUUGUACUAUUCAAUUAAAAAGUCAGGUCGAGUCAACUGAUUGAAUCAGUCAUAACUCAGUCAGCUGCUAGUCAAAAAGGUAACGUCUGAGUUAGAUGUUAACUCGGCUGAAUGGUAUUAGCCUAGGGCCUAGGCCAUUUGCAUUGGCCCAAGCUCUGUUGCGCCAUCUUGGCCGUUUACAGCUUCAGUUCCCUGUUCCCGCUUCACUGCACAUGCCUGCACAUCCAACUCAAUCCAUCAUAUGCCUACUCCCAUUGCAACUCGGCUCUUCUUCAUCUAAGUUCAAGCACAACUCGGGUUAUCUUCCACCACACCUAUUUACUUCUAUCACCAGAAUCACACAAACCACUCACCACAACAGCUACAACCUUGAACACCAACCAAACUCAGCUAUAUCUCCUUCCUACAAUUCAAUUCCUAGCAUACAUCUAAGUUCCAAGGCCAUUCAAUACCAGCUGCUAACAAUACCCACAGCAACAACCACAACUCCAAUUCUGAACAUCAACUCACAGCACCAUCAUCUCAUUGCCGCAUCAAAAUCAUUAU